Molecule: transfer RNA, 69 nt
Filed under: Rattus norvegicus (Norway rat)
Lineage: Eukaryota; Metazoa; Chordata; Mammalia; Rodentia; Muridae
Rfam family: tRNA
About the family: Transfer RNA (tRNA) molecules are approximately 80 nucleotides in length. Their secondary structure includes four short double-helical elements and three loops (D, anti-codon, and T loops). Further hydrogen bonds mediate the characteristic L-shaped molecular structure. tRNAs have two regions of fundamental functional importance: the anti-codon, which is responsible for specific mRNA codon recognition, and the 3' end, to which the tRNAs corresponding amino acid is attached (by aminoacyl-tRNA synthetases). tRNAs cope with the degeneracy of the genetic code in two manners: having more than one tRNA (with a specific anti-codon) for a particular amino acid; and 'wobble' base-pairing, i.e. permitting non-standard base-pairing at the 3rd anti-codon position.
Source: Rfam by way of RNAcentral
GGGGAUUUAGCUCAGAGGUAGAGCACUUGCCUAGCAAGCACAAGGUCCUGGGUUCGAUCCCCAGCUCCG